Molecule: ribosomal RNA, 508 nt
Filed under: uncultured bacterium
Lineage: Bacteria
Description: partial 16S ribosomal RNA
Rfam family: Bacterial small subunit ribosomal RNA
Source: RNAcentral
AUUGAACGCUGGCGGCAGGCCUAACACAUGCAAGUCGAGCGGCAGCGGGAAAGUAGCUUGCUACUUUUGCCGGCGAGCGGCGGACGGGUGAGUAAUGCCUGGGGAUCUGCCCAGUCGAGGGGGAUAACUACUGGAAACGGUAGCUAAUACCGCAUACGCCCUACGGGGGAAAGCAGGGGACCUUCGGGCCUUGCGCGAUUGGAUGAACCCAGGUGGGAUUAGCUCGUUGGUGAGGUAAUGGCUGACCAAGGCGACGAUCCCUAGCUGGUCUGUGAGGCUGAGCAGCCACACGGGAACAAGGACACGGUCCAGACUCGUACGGGAGGCAGCAGUGGGGAAUAAUGCACAAUGGGGGAAACCCUGAUGCAGCCAUGCCGCGUGUGUGAAGAAGGCCUUCGGGUUGUAUAGCACUUUCAGCGAGGAGGAAAGGUUGGUAGCUAAUAACUGCCAGCUGUGACGUUACUCGCAGAAGAAGCACCGGCUAACUCCGUGCCAGCCGCCGCCGUAA